This 427-nucleotide ribosomal RNA is filed under the name uncultured bacterium. RNAcentral describes it as "partial 16S ribosomal RNA". It matches the Rfam family "Bacterial small subunit ribosomal RNA", at positions 355 to 774 of the family's 1533-position model. The record is from RNAcentral.
UGGGGAAUAUUGGACAAUGGGCGAAAGCCUGAUCCAGCCAUGCCGCGUGUGUGAAGAAGGUCUUCGGAUUGUAAAGCACUUUAAGUUGGGAGGAAGGGCAUUAACCUAAUACGUUAGUGUUUUGACGUUACCGACAGAAUAAGCACCGGCUAACUCUGUGCCAGCAGCCGCGGUAAUACAGAGGGUGCAAGCGUUAAUCGGAAUUACUGGGCGUAAAGCGCGCGGAGGUGGUCUGUUAAGUUGGAUGUGAAAUCCCCGGGCUCAACCUGGGAACUGCAUUCAAAACUGACUGACUAGAGUAUGGUAGAGGGUGGUGGAAUUUCCUGUGUAGCGGUGAAAUGCGUAGAUAUAGGAAGGAACACCAGUGGCGAAGGCGACCACCUGGACUAAUACUGACACUGAGGUGCGAAAGCGUGGGGAGCAAACA